Molecule: non-coding RNA, 2481 nt
Organism: Salmo salar (Atlantic salmon)
Lineage: Eukaryota; Metazoa; Chordata; Actinopteri; Salmoniformes; Salmonidae
Source: RefSeq, a predicted model, not a curated record
CUGUUCCUUGAAGCCGCAGUGUAUUUUGAAACGAGGUUGAGAGAUCCAGCGGCUCCAAAAGCAGGCACAAGGCUGCCAGUGUUCCAGUGUUCAGCCUGGGGCUUGGCACUCACCCUGACCAGAGGGGUCCAGCCAAUGGCGGCAUUUGCUGUGUUUGUGUGUGUGGGAAAGAAAGAAUGAGAGUUUGUGAAGAGGUGCGUGUGUGUGUGUGUGUAUUUGUGUGUGCAUGUGCUGAUGUAGAAACACCUUUCUCCAAGUAGAGCUCUUCCUCAGAGCCUAGGUGAGUCAGAGAGUCUCAUGUUUGGUAGUUUGCGGUUUUGUCAGUUUUUUGGUAAUAAGCUCUCUCUCCCCCUCCUCCAACCCCCAUGGUGCAGUCUGCUUGUUACUGAGCUGGAGGCGGGCCAAGAUGUGCACCACAGGAAUUGGACCAAUCCACACAGUAGAAGACGGGGAGCAUUGCUAAAUUGGUUCCAUACCUUGGCUGACAGUGGUUAGGUCUUUGAGCUCUGAGAAGAAUGGCCUACACUGGUGAUAGAUAGUGAGCUGGUGACAGUGACACAGCCGUCCCCAAAUUCCAUAGCUGCUCGUUGGCUGUCAUUAUAGUUUCAAGGCAACGUUCCCCCGCUGGGCACCUACAUCAGUUCAACGUCUAGUUUUGAUUUACAUUUGGUUAAGCUGUCAACUAACAUGACUUCAACGUGAAAUCAAAAAGAAAAUUCACCACGUCAUUGGAUUUAAGUUAAAAGUUUGGUUUAAAAAAAGACGAAAUUCCCUUAUGUUGACCUUUUUUUCGAAACCAAUCUGUUUUCCACGUUGAUUCAACGUCAUCACGUAAUUGUUUUUUUUUUUUUUUGCGGGUUUGGUUGAAAUGACAGGGAAACAACGUUGAUUUAACCAGUUUGAGCCCGGUGGGAUGUAAUGAACUGCAAUUGAUGUCGGGCCUACAUCGGGUCGGUAGAGGGGGACGGCACGUAAAACCCUGAGUCGUACUGUUUACACACAUGGAUAUGACAUUAGUCCGGAAAGCUCUAUGAGAUACUCUGCUGUGGCGUUGCCAAGUUGAGCAUCUACAUUUGGGUUUGGCUGUUCCCUCCUCCCGUCUGCUCGGUCGCCCCAGAAACCACAGGAAAGGGAAGCCGGAACCCUCCGAAAAUAUUGUCCUGGGUAAAAAUGGCCACUUGAAUGGCAACAUUCAGCCCCCAUCCACUACAAACAAAAGGACUUUGACAGAGAGAGAAAGAGAUGUGCAGUUUAAUUUUUGUUUCUGCUUUUCUAGCUACAUUUACACUUUCAUUUUCUCUUUUAUUUAACAGUUAAUGUGAAUACGGGUAUAUGAUUCAUAUACUGUAUCUACUGCAACUACACUUUUUUUUAUACGUUGUUUGUAUUCCAUCAUCUCUUGUCUGCUGGUAGUUGCAUUUGUGGAUUUAUAGGGAAAGAGAAACUUCAUGCAUAAUGAGGUCAGGUCUGUCACGCUCUAGCUGUAAUAGUAAUGCCUAGCCAUGAAAGUGACUUGAAAUGUGGUGGAACUUUAGUCAAAGUCUCCCCAUUGCCAUCUUUUUCCAUCCCACUACUAUGGAACUUUUAUCUCCAACAAACACAUAUACAGAUGCAGGAUCUUAAUUGGAUCCACUUUGGAAAAUAAUCCUGCAGAAACAGGAAAUGUGAAUUAUUUUGUGGAUUUGAAUUCAUGUAUAUGUUUGUAGGGGUUGAUAUUUUUUUGUUAUUUUUUUUGUAUUUCUUUUUUGCGGGGGUAAAGGAAAAUCAGGUCUGAAAUUUCAAAGUGGAGAUUACAAAUUUCAGAAGCCUUUUUAAACCUAAAAUACACUAAAAUGUCCUUCCUGCAUUGCAGGAAAGUUAUCCUGCAACAGGGUGAUCAAAUUAAGAUCUUACAUCUGUAAACACACACUCACAUAAAACCUCCAAUGCCACCCAACACACACAGACACACAUCCUGGCACUCAAAUGCAAACAUCCACACACAUACACACAAACAGCCCCCCCACACACAUUAUUCUGGUGUCUUUGAUGGAAGCUAAGGCGUGGUCUAUAUGGGUGGUGUGUGUAUGUGUUUAUAUUUGUGUGUGCAUUAGUGUCGGUGUCCUCCCUAAGUGAGGAGGGCCAUCUGGUCACCCUGCCAUUGCUGUCCGUGGUCCCUGUGAAGUGCUGUUAGCGUAGCCGCUGCGGUCGACUGUGGCGACUGAAUGCUUGCUGCACAGCAACAUCCAGGCUGGGCUCUCACCUCAGAAAAGGAGAUUUGGGUUUUCUCAAAUGGAGGGGUUGCUCCUGAGCUAUUUACAGCUAUUUACAAAUGGACUUCUUCCCUUCUCUCACUUCCUUGGCUGCUCUUUCAAGAACCUCAAGGGGGGCCAGACCCCUGCUUGUUUGACGUUUGUAUACACAGGGCAUGAUGAUGUCUGCUAUGUAACAAUAAAAAUGCACUAUCUUGAGUUCAUAUGCAUAUUAUGCAUAAAACUGCCA